GCUACAUCUAAUCCAGAAAUUGAGAGAGAUAAUUAUGUGCAGCCAAAAAUACAUAUUUUACAAACAUUAUUGUUCUCAAAGCUGGUCACUUACUAAUAAGAAAACCACCAGCAUUAUAUGUUAAACUUAAUGUGUGCCUUUUUCUUCACAACAGUGUCUCAUCGACAUAAGCUGCCACGACGAUAAAGUUAGGAUCCUGUUGCUCUCUCUCACACACACACAUAAGAAAAGAGGCAUCAGACAGAUUGAAUUUCGAAAUAAUGAUUUAACUUAACUCUUGUCUUCCUCUAUCUUUGAAGAACUGAACUUGACAUUAACCAAAUCUGCAGCAAGUCGUGCAGCAGCAGAUGCACGCUCUGCAGCAGAAAUAGCAGAACGGGCUCUCUCCAAUACAUCUGAUGUUUCUGGUCUUGUAUCCUUUUUUAUAUCGACUGCAUCAGCCAAAGUGCUGUCGCUAUGUGAUGGUUUAUCUAUAUUGGCGGGCCAUAGAGGUGCUUUAGUAACAGAGGUUGGAGAAUCAAGACUCUUAGCUCCUCGAUUGCCAUUUGGAGACGUCACAGGAUUUUCAGAAGUUGGUGGAUGACCACGAGUAUUUGGUUCUAGAGAUGCCCGAACAGGUGCAGCAAUUUGCUUUGGUCCAUUCAGAAGGUCCUCCGGGUUUUUACUUAAUUCUGCUUCUGUGUAAGAAGAAUCCCAUUCCACGUUGUACUCUUUUGCAAUUUCCUUCAGUACAUUGAGCUUUAGUUCAGCUGAUGGAGCACCAACUGAAAGUUUCUCUACAAUUGUACGGUUAACACUUGUAUCAGGCCGAAGCUCAGAUGCUGCGGCUAUAAAUUCCUUUCCGUAUUUAGCUGCAAAUAGAUUCCUGACAUGCAAUAGAUCUGGCAAAUCUGAACAUCUUGGAGCUGCAAAGAUUAUACUUGCAACAGCUUCCCGCAACUCUGAGGGGCAUUCCUUUUGGCUUUCAAGGAUAGGGACACGGGCAAAAACAAACUCGCAGAACAACUCCAAAAUCUCAUAGGCAGCCCAUACAUUUUGCUCGCGUAUAAUAUGCUCAACCCUAAUUCGAGCUAUGGCUUCCUGGCCUGUUUGCAGAAAUUGGGCUAUCUCCUUGCGCAUAAGUCUGAGCUGUGCAUCUCUCUUGUUUUGUAGUAAUUUGAUUCGUGAGAUUGCCAAGGUCAAGCACGUCUUGCACUUUGAGCCUUGAAGUCCCCUGUUGAAGAGUUGAUUCAGCAUCGACAUGAGUCGAAGAACUCCACAAAAUUGUGGCAAUUGCUUAAAUAUAUAUCGCAAUUCACAAUUUUGCUAAGAAUUUUGAU
Molecule: unclassified non-coding RNA, 1319 nt
Filed under: Hevea brasiliensis (rubber tree)
Lineage: Eukaryota; Viridiplantae; Streptophyta; Magnoliopsida; Malpighiales; Euphorbiaceae
Source: RNAcentral